This 19-nucleotide non-coding RNA is filed under the name Rattus norvegicus (Norway rat). The record is from RNAcentral. Lineage: Eukaryota; Metazoa; Chordata; Mammalia; Rodentia; Muridae.
GUGUUUGUGCUGUGACUCA